GACGAACGCUGGCGGCGUGCUUAACACAUGCAAGUCGAACGGAAAGGCCCUGCUUUUGUGGGGUGCUCGAGUGGCGAACGGGUGAGUAACACGUGAGUAACCUGCCCUUGACUUUGGGAUAACUUCAGGAAACUGGGGCUAAUACCGGAUAGGAGCUCCUGCUGCAUGGUGGGGGUUGGAAAGUUUCGGCGGUUGGGGAUGGACUCGCGGCUUAUCAGCUUGUUGGUGGGGUAGUGGCUUACCCAGGCUUUGACGGGUAGCCGGCCUGUGAGGGUGACCGGCCACAUUGGGACUGAGAUACGGCCCAGACUCCUACGGGAGGCAGCAGUGGGGAAUAUUGCACAAUGGGCGGAAGCCGGAUGCAGCAACGCCGCGUGCGGGAUGACGGCCUUCGGGUUGUAAACCGCUUUCGCCUGUGACGAAGCGUGAGUGACGGUAAUGGGUAAAGAAGCACCGGCUAACUACGUG
Molecule: ribosomal RNA, 468 nt
Filed under: uncultured bacterium
Lineage: Bacteria
Description: partial 16S ribosomal RNA
Rfam family: Bacterial small subunit ribosomal RNA
Source: RNAcentral